ACCUCCGGACUGGGGUUCGCAAGCUUCACGGCGAACGUACCUCGGGAAGUUGGUUAAACCUCACUAUUUAGAGGAAGGCGAAGUCGUAACAAGGUCUCCGUAGGUGAACCUGCAGAAGGAUC
RNAcentral lists this ribosomal RNA (122 nucleotides) under Aureococcus anophagefferens. RNAcentral's name for it is "partial small subunit ribosomal RNA". It matches the Rfam family "Eukaryotic small subunit ribosomal RNA", at positions 1706 to 1827 of the family's 1831-position model. Lineage: Eukaryota; Pelagophyceae; Pelagomonadales; Pelagomonadaceae. The record is from RNAcentral.